RNAcentral lists this transfer RNA (72 nucleotides) under Myotis davidii. It matches the Rfam family "tRNA". From Rfam's summary of the family: Transfer RNA (tRNA) molecules are approximately 80 nucleotides in length. The record is from Rfam by way of RNAcentral. Lineage: Eukaryota; Metazoa; Chordata; Mammalia; Chiroptera; Vespertilionidae.
GCCGGUUUGGCUCAGUGGAUAGAGCAUCCGCCUGCGGACUGUAAGGUCCGGGUUCAAUUCCCGUCAAGGGCA